This is a long non-coding RNA of Electrophorus electricus (electric eel), 1579 nucleotides long. RefSeq lists it as uncharacterized. The record is from RefSeq and is a predicted model, not a curated record. Lineage: Eukaryota; Metazoa; Chordata; Actinopteri; Gymnotiformes; Gymnotidae.
UGUUUUGUUUAACUUAUUUUGGUUUAAUUGUAAAUUUGUGAUAGUGAACGCUAAGCAAACCCGAACUAAAAUGUACUAAUGUAUCUUUUUCUUGUUUGUUCCAGACCAAGGGAACCAAACUACAAGUUUGAACACACCCGUAAUCUAAAGUGCUGACUGGUAUCAUCCAAAUAACAUUUCAGCUCAUCCAGACAACCCCCCCAAGCCCAUUCCAGUUUUCUAUUUCAAGAGUGCACUCUCCGUUUCGCUGAGCGAUCACUUGCUUGUCGGCUGGUCCCUUCUGCUUGAAAACUCCCCAGAAGGCAACAGCCAUUAGGGACAGAGAUCUGGAGGAUAGCUUUCCCUAGCCAUGCAGGAGGGGGUACAGUAAGUGAGAUGGGCAGAACAGCUUCUCAUACUUGUGCCAUGCAUUUUCCCUGAGAAUGCAGCUAUGUUUGGCUGGACUCUACCGCAUGACUGAAUGUGGCAUUUAUAUGCUGAGCAAUUAGCACUCUCAACUCUGAGCUUCUCUAAGCACGCGGCAGUGUUCUCAUGCCAGGAGGUUCGACAAGGCCUUCACUGUGCUUCCCUUCAAGUUUUUGGAACUUCAUGGAACAAGGAGGAGACCUAUUAUAGUAUCAGCAGGUAAUAAGAAGAAAAAAAAGGAAAACAUCAACAACCACAGGUUCAACUUGUUUCCACCUUACACUUUACUUCACCCCUCUAAUGUUACCUUACAGUUUCCCACCUCCACAUGGUUUGUUUUGGUUUUGUUAAUGUAGUUUUUCAUAUUCUGGGUGUACAAGUUCAUCCAUGUUUCUGUCAACUAGUUUUUUGACCUUGUGUGUGAUUUUUGUACUGCCCUUAAAGGAAUGGUUCACCAAAAAGACACCUGGUACCUGGCAGAUGUUUUGUAAAUGUGUCAAAGGGCCUGUUUACACCUCACAUUAACAUGUGUUCCAUGUCUGGAUCAUACCAAAUAUUAGAAGAUAUCAUUUAAUGGCCAGAGGAGGAUGAGCCCCCUGUUUGAGUCUUGGUUCCCCUCAAGGUUUCUUCCGCAUACUCUAGGGAGUUUUCCACUGUCGCCUUUGGCUUGAUCACUGGGGGCUUGGACUUGGACGUUUGUAAAGCUGCUUUGUGACAACAUCUAUUAUAAAAAGCGCUCUAUAAAUACAUUUUGAUUUGAUUUGCUUUAAAGCAUGUAAUGAAUAAUCUGUGUGAAUCAUCUGCAUGAAUCAUCUGCAUGAAUCAUCUGUAUAGCUGGAGGAAUUUUUGGUUUGCAGCUGCUUGGUUUCUGCAGUGGACAGAACCGCUACCAUCCAGAGAGCUGUUUGGCAAUAACAGAGGAGUCAACACAUAGCAGAAGUAUGCUGCUUAUGCUGUCGGAGUGUUUAUAACUGGCCAAGUAAAAUCUGAACAUGAUCCCAUCACUAGAAACUCAUGUGAAGGUAUAAACAGGCUGAAAGAGUUUUUAUGUCAAUAUUUGCAAAACCUUUCACAAUGAAUGACAAUGAAUAAUGAAUAUAUGUACAUUAAUUUAUUAAUUUGUGCAUGCUAAUUUAUGAAUCUAUGUAUCUUCUCAAUGUUAAAUUUCUCAAAA